GAUGAACGCUGACAGAAUGCUUAACACAUGCAAGUCGACUUGAAUUUGGGUUUUUAACUUAGGUUUGGGUGGCGGACGGGUGAGUAACGCGUAAAGAACUUGCCUCCCAGCUAGGGACACCAUUUGGAAACGAAUGCUAAUACCUAAUAUUAUGAUAAUAGGGCAUCCUAUAUUUAUAAAAGCAAUAAGCGCUGUGAGAGAGCUUUGCGUCCCAUUAGCUAGUUGGAGAGGUAACGGCUCACCAAGGCGAUGAUGGGUAGCCGGCCUGAGAGGGUGAUCGGCCACAAGGGGACUGAGACACGGCCCUUACUCCUACGGGAGGCAGCAGUGGGGAAUAGUGGACAAUGGACCGAGAGUCUGAUCCAGCAAUUCUGUGUGCACGAUGAAGUUUUUCGGAAUGUAAAGUGCUUUCAGUUGGGAAGAAACAAAUGACGGUACCAACAGAAGAAGUGACGGCUAAAUACGUG
Molecule: ribosomal RNA, 467 nt
Filed under: uncultured bacterium
Lineage: Bacteria
Description: partial 16S ribosomal RNA
Rfam family: Bacterial small subunit ribosomal RNA
Source: RNAcentral